Hydra vulgaris (swiftwater hydra) is the source of this 274-nucleotide non-coding RNA. NCBI's taxonomy places the organism in Eukaryota, Metazoa, Cnidaria, Hydrozoa, Anthoathecata, Hydridae. The record is from RefSeq and is a predicted model, not a curated record.
AAAUUCACUCAUGGCCAAAUUAAAUAUGGCAGCUGGAAAAGACAAAAGAAUUUUUUUAGUCUAACCAAGCUAUACAACUUAAUAAAAGUUUGUGCAUCGACUGCUCACGAAUCAUACACAGAGUCGAUUGUCGAUGCAAUAAAUACUGAUUCGUUUAAGCGGGCAACUUUUGCUCGUGUUAAAGUGCCUUAAAUCCAACAGAUAUCAUCGUUACGAUAUUACUUUGUUUGUAAAUUGUUUUAGGAAAUAAAUUUAAAAAUAACUUUUAAAUAAA